RNAcentral lists this ribosomal RNA (496 nucleotides) under uncultured bacterium. Its description in RNAcentral is "partial 16S ribosomal RNA". It matches the Rfam family "Bacterial small subunit ribosomal RNA", at positions 28 to 507 of the family's 1533-position model. The record is from RNAcentral.
GAUGAACGCUGGCGGCGUGCCUAAUACAUGCAAGUCGAGCGAACAGACGAGGAGCUUGCUCCUCUGACGUUAGCGGCGGACGGGUGAGUACACGUGGAUAACCUACCUAUAAGACUGGGAUAACUUCGGGAAACCGGAGCUAAUACCGGAUAACAUGUUGAACCGCAUGGUUCAACAGUGAAAGACGGUCUUGCUGUCGCUUAUAGAUGGAUCCGCGCCGCAUUAGCUAGUUGGUAAGGUAACGGCUUACCAAGGCAACGAUGCGUAGCCGACCUGAGAGGGUGAUCGGCCACACUGGAACUGAGACACGGUCCAGACUCCUACGGGAGGCAGCAGUAGGGAAUCUUCCGCAAUGGGCGAAAGCCUGACGGAGCAACGCCGCGUGAGUGAAGAAGGUCUUCGGAUCGUAAAACUCUGUUAUUAGGGAAGAACAAAUGUGUAAGUAACUAUGCACGUCUUGACGGUACCUAAUCAGAAAGCCACGGCUAACUACGUG